CAGUAUGGGCUUCUUUGAUAGACUCAGGAAA
This 31-nucleotide non-coding RNA is filed under the name Homo sapiens (human). The record is from RNAcentral. Lineage: Eukaryota; Metazoa; Chordata; Mammalia; Primates; Hominidae.